UCUGGGAUUUCUAUCCUGUUCCACUGAUCUAUAUUUCUGUCUUUGUGCCAGUACCAUGCGGUUUUGACGACUGUUGCUUUGUAGUCUAGUCUGAAGUCCGGGAGUCUGAUUCCUCCAGCUCCAUUUUUCUUUUUCAGGAUGUCUUUGGCCCUUCUGGGUCUUUUGGGCUUCCACACAAACUUUAAACUAUUUUGUUUGAGUUCUGUGAAAAAUGACCUUGGUAAUUUCAGAGGGAUUGCAUUGAAUCAGUAGAUUGCCUUGGGUAGUAUAGUCAUUUUGAUAAUAUUAACUCUUCCAAUCCAUGAGCAUGGUAUUAUCUUUCCAUCUAUUUGUGUCAUCUUUGAUUUCUUUCAUCAGCAUCUUUUUUUGGUCUUUUAUACCUUUUCUAGGUCUGCAACCAUGGCUUAUGGAGGUUCCCAGGCUACGGGUCUAAUCAUAGCUGUAGCCACUGGCCUACACCAGAGCUACAACAAUGUGGAAUCCGAGCUGUGUCUGUGAUCUACACCACAGCUCACAGCAAUGCCAGAUCCUUAAUCCACUGAGAAAGACCAGGGAUCAAACACACAACCUCAUGGUUACUAGUCAGAUUUGUUAACAACUGCACCACUACAGGAACUCCUCAUCAGAGUCUUAUAGUUUUCAGAGUACAGUUCUUUUGUCUCUUUAGGUAGGUUUACUCCUAGGUUUUUCAGUCUUGUGGAUGUGAUGGUAAACAGGAUUGCUUCCCUAAUUUCUCAUUCUGCUCUUUCAUUGUUAGUGUAUAGAAAUGCUGUCAAUUUCUGUGUAUUAAUUUUGUAUCCUGCGACUUUGCCAAAUUCAUGGAUGAGCUCAAAUAGUUUUCUGGUAAAGUCUUUAGGAUUCUCUAGGUAGAGUAUCAUGUCAUCUGCAAAUAGUGAUAGUUUUACUUCUUCCUUUCCAAUUUGGAUUCCUUUUAUCUCUUUUACUUUUCUGAUUGCCAUGUCUAGGACUUCCAAAACUAUGUUGAAGAGUAGUGGUGAGAGCGGACAUCCUUGUCUUGUUCCUGAUCUUAGCAGGAAGUGUUUUUCUUUUUCUGUGAGUUUGGGGGAGCCAAACUGUAGUCUUGUAAGGCUCUUUCUAUGUAAGAAUACCCCUUUGUAUUUUGGGAGGGAUUACUAUUUAUUUUUGGUGUGAGUUUGAAUCUUUGCUGUCUCUUUCUUCAGUGUGAGCAGGCUGUUAUCUCCAGGAUGCUCAGUGUAUUUUCAGGGAGAAAGAGGCAAUGAGUACAGCCAGCAGUCAGUGACUGUUUGUUGGGCUCUCAACAGAAGCAAAGACCUGCAGGAAGAUGACACAGGCUACUCAUAGUUUCAGGGCCCUGGGAAGUGGUUCUGAGAUCUAGGAGGAUCUGCAAGGUGACCAGAGUAUUUGGCAGCAGUAGCAGCAGCAGGAUGCAUGAAUUCCCAGGGGGAUGAGAGCAAUAACAGCUUGCAUUUGAUUGCAAUGCUCUCCUCUGAGGUGAUUGUAGCCGCAGGUGGUGCCUGUUCAGGGACCUCUUGUGGGAGUUGGCCAUGACAUUUUCUAACAUCAGUGAUAACUGCAGUGGUUUGCUUCUGUCACCUGUAGAUUCUGCAUGAAGCAAUCCAUCUCACUUAGCUCUCAUUACAGGUGUUACACAGGCUGAUCCUAGUUGCAGGGUCCUGGGAAGUGACAGAGAUCUGGCAUAUGGGUACUGCCUGGAACAUUCAGCAGUGGCAGCAGCAGUGCCAUGGUGUUCCCCAGGGUGCAAGAGCACCAACAGCUCGUAUUCAUUCAGAAUGCCCUCCUCUGUGAUGACCUUGAGGUGACUGGGCUGCAAGUGGUGCCUGUUUACCUACCUCUAGUCGUGCUGGGCUAGUGCCAUCUCUGGAGCCAGAGAUAACUGUGACAGUUUGUCCCUACCACCUAUAAAUCAUGUGAGAAGCACCUUGUCCUGCUUAGUCCCAAUAGGAUGUGCUACACAAGCUGCUCUUUGUUGUAGGUUCCUUGGAAGGGACAUUGAUCAAGCAUCUGAGCACUGCCCAGAACAUUUGGCAGUUGCAGCUGCAUUUGCAGGCCAGGUGUGCUCCUGGGGGAGCAAGAGCAACAUCAGGUGGUGUUCUGCCAUAAUGUCCUUCUCUGUGAUGCCCUCUGAAUGGUUGGGGCUGCAAGUGAUUUUUGUUCAGGUAUCCCCAGUGGUGGUGGGCCAUGCCCACCUCUGGAAUCAGGGACAACUGUGGUGGUUUGCUCCUGCCACAUGAAGGUCCAGUCCUCUGUGGGGUAGCAAGUAGCCUCCUGCUGCCAGAGACACCUGAAGAGGCCCAGUCUGGAGAGGCCCAGUCUGAGGUGGGCCAGUGAGUAGCUUCCUGCAGCUGGAGAUGCCUGGUCUGUGGCAUAUGGAAAGCAGCUUCUGGCCACAGUGGGGGCUGCACUGGGGAUGCUCUGCCCUCUGUAAGCCAGUGGGCAUGUGCUCCCACUGGGGUGCAAGAAGUUCCCUUUGGCAGUCCUCCCCUGCCCAUCCUCCCUGACACUGGUGCCUUGCCUCUUCUGUGAGUCUGUACUUUCUCCAGGGUUCCCUCUGCCAUGGCUUUCCACUCCCCAGCCCUUAGUGAACUGCUCCCCCAGCCCAUGGUGCACUGCUCCUUAGCCCCUUAGGCUAUCUCCACACUGCCAAACCCAGCCCACUCCUUGGGACUGACCUCUGGAGCCUAAGUCUCAGCACCCAGCCCCCAUCUGAGCAUCUCAGGCUGUGGUUCUUUGCCGGUGGUUCAGACAAUCUAUGCAUCUCUCACUCUCCUUUUUCAUUCUCAGACCUGCCGCUGCACUUUUCUCAGAAUCUUUGAGGUCCCUCUGACUUGGCUGAUCUUUCUGUUGGUUAGGUGGCUUCCCCAGAUGUGGGUUCCUUUUCUCCCUCACAGCUCCCUCUCAGGAAUGCCAGUCCCAUCCUGAUUCCUUUUAUCUCUCUCUAUUUUUUCUUUUUUUCCACCCAGUUUUGUCAAGAGUUUCUUGCCCUUUUUGGAGGUUUAAGUUCUGCCAGCAUUCAGUUGAUGUUCUGUGCCAGUUGUUUUACAUGUAGAUGUGUUUUUUUGAUGUGUUUGUGGGAGAGGGUGAGCAUGACCUCUUACUCUUCUGCCAUCUUGCCUUCACCCCUCCAAACACAGUCUUUAUUCAUAGUCCCAAGGACUAGUUUGGAGUUCACCUUAAGGAUCCCUUCUUCUGUAUACCAAUUCACCGUAAUUCUCAGUAGCUUUGUGAUUUUGAAGAGUCUGAGCCAGACACUAAUGAAACCUAACAAUAUACCUGUACUUCCUUCCUCAGGGAUUCUGGGACAACCCACAACUGUUUUUCAAUGCCCUAGCUAAGAAAUAAAGAGAAAUAAAAUUAGAGAUGGGGACUUUAUUACAAUACAUAGAUGACCUCCUUAUCUUCAGCCCCUCAAAGAAAUCUUCAGACAAUAAUACUGUAUAGACCCUCAGGUUCCUGGGCUCCAGGGGAUAUAAAGUAUCCCCACAGAAAGGCCAAAUUUCCUCCCAGAGAGUCACUUACCUGGGACAUGUUCUAAAUCCAGGGAAGCAUGCCUUUAUGACCCAGUGUAAGGAAGGAAUCCUCCAUUUACAACAACACAUACAAAAAAACAGCUCAGAAUCUUUUUAGGAAUGGUUGGGUUUUGUAGGAUUUUUAUCCCCAGGUUUAGUCUCAUGGCAAAAACCAUUGUAGGAUUCCUUAAAGGGACCAAACAUGGAACUUCUAGAUUGGACAGGGAACUUAUGAAGAACAUUGAUCAGAUUAAGACUGCCCUGAGUAGUAUCCCAGGCCUGGGAUCUCAGAUCUUAAUAUGCCUUUUACUCUUUUUACCUAUUAAAAGAGGAAAUAGCCCUAGGAGUUCUCACUCAAAAUAUAGGGCCAAUUCCAUGACCAGUGACAUGUCUCUCAAAGUGAUUGGAGUCAGUGGUCUCAGGAUGGCAAGGCAGUCUUAAGAGCUCUAUCAACCACAGCCCUGUUAGUUGAAGAGGCCACAAAUCUCACCAUAUGUCAACCCCUAGAAGUACCGACACACCAGGUCAGAGAGCAUUAGAAAUGAAAGGACAUCAAUGACCGACUGGAGAAUACUUCACAAAUACUAGGUCUUUCUUCUACACUCUCCUGAAGUAACUCUUAAAAUAUGUCAGACCUUAAAUCUAGCCACUAUUAUGCCAAUAGAAAGCCCAGAGGAAUUAUCUCAUUCUUGUACUGAGACCAUUUAACAGAUAUAUUCUAGCAGACCUAAACUCAGCAAACCUGAUGCUGCCUGGUUUAUUGAUGGAUGUAGUUAUAUACAUGACAAUAUCCAGAAAGCAUUGUAUGCAUAAUAGAUUUACAUGAGAUCAUAGAGGCUAAUGCCCUGCCUCCCCAGACCUCAGCGCAAAAGCUGAGUUUAUAGCCCUAGCUCGAUCUCUAAGUCUAGGAAAAGACAAGAGGAUCAAUAUCUAUAUGGAUUCUAAGUAUGAAUUUUUGCUGUUAUGUGCACAUGCCUCUAUUUGGAAACACAGCAGACUCCUGACUACAUGGGUCUUCCUAACUCAGCACUGCCAAGAAACCUUAGAACUCCUAAAAGCAGUACAAUAACCUAAGGAGGUAGCAGUUACUCACUGUAAGGGACAUCAGAAGAGGAAUUCAGACAAAAUAAAGGAAAUAAUCUGACUGACAAGACGGCUAAGAGUACACCUCUUAAAACCCUUCAACUUAGGCUGCUUUACUUCCCUAUGUAUCAAUUCCCAGCCCACUUUUGCCACCCCAGUGUACAAGGAAAUAAAGUGGGCUAGAACUAAAAGAUACCAAAAGGGCCCCAAUGGAUGGUGGAUUACAGAACAAAUGGUAAUCCUACACAGAAUAUUACAAUGGAAAAUUUUAAAUAACUCCAUGACUCUUCAUCUGGGGAAAGAUGCUUUGAUUAGGCUGAGGGAGAAAAAAAUUUUCUAGUAUAGGCAUUUCUCAGAUUAUUUUAUAAAUAACAAAUGCCUGUAAUAUAUGCUUCUAUAACAAGCCAAGAGGAAAAUUUAGGCCUUCACCCCUCCUCCUGCCCAUUCAAAGCAAAGGAAGUUAUCUGGGAAAAGACUGUCAAAGAGAUUUUACCCAGAUGCCAUCCCUCCCAGGGAUAUAGAUACCUCCUAGUUUGUAUUGACACUUUCAUGGGGUGAUGGGAGCCUUUCCAACAAGGACAAAAAGAGCUCAGGAAAUAGUCAAGACUUUAUUAAAAGAAAUAAUUCCUCAGAUCAGACCUCUGAGGUCCUUACAAAGUGAUAAUGGUCUCUCUUUUGUGGCCAAGAUAACACAACAAAUCUCUCCUGCCCUAGGCGUUUUUUAUCACCUCCACAUUGCCUAUAGGCCUCAAUCAUCAGGAAAAGUUGAAAGGGGAAAUCAAACUUUAAAAAGAUCUCUGGCUAGGCUCUGUCAAGAGACAACAGAACCUUGGACAAAGUUUUAACAAUCACCAUCCUGAGAAUCAGGGUGGCACCUAAAACAAGUUUAAAACUUAGCCCGUUUGAAAUGACUUACAGUAAGCCAUUCUUAUCUGAAACCAGUGAGCUCAUUAAUUGCCUAAUUAAUCUGUGACAGGUCAAAAAGCUGAUUUCAGAAUAUGGAAAUCAUUUUUUGUCUGCCCCCAGCUAGGAAAUAAGCCCUAUUCAGGUUCAGCUGGGAGAUUUUGUCCUUCUCAAAGCAUGAAAGCAUGGAGGGAAGCAUCCUCUUCUGACAAAUUAUUGCCCAGGCGGAAGGGCCCACACAAAGCCCUUCUCAGCACUCCUACUGCAAUAAAACUACAGGGGAUCACUAGCUGGGUACACUUUCUAGAAUUAAAACUUCCCCUCCCCUGAGUCUUCACAGACAUGGGAGAUCUUGGACAGCCAGCAGAAUCUAGGUGAAUGAGCAAGCCUCUUCAGGACCUGAAGCUUUUAUUCAAGAGGACAAAAAAACAUCACAGAUAUAAGGCUGAGUACCUAUAGCCACUAUUCUCCUUUUGCCCUCUGAUACCCCAGUCCACCCAAAAAAUAAGUAAUAUGCUGUGGUGGAUUUGGUUACCUAUUAUCCUCCUCACUCUCCUUCUCACUGUCAAAAUCUUUUAUGAGUGCUGCUAUAGUGAACCACAUAGACCAGGGAGGGAAAUCCUCUGUCCAUUCUGGGUUUGAUAAGACACAUACCAAACCUAAGAAAACACCCCACAACUUCCACUCUUUCUCUUUUGUUCCAAAAAGUUCUAGAGACCCUACUUCUGCUCUUGUUCUCAUUUUAUCUGUCCAAUACCUUUGGUCCUAAGGCCUAAUGUAGAAAUAUAGCAUAACAGUCAAUAAUUCCAGAUUAUUGCUGAAGGGGAAAAUCCCACUUUCUGCUGCAAUUGCCAUUGCCAAUCCACUACCACAGGAGACAUAAAUACCACCCUCAAAGCUUACCCAGUCAAUGGCAACACUGUAUUCUCUGCUUUUAAUCAAUCUUGUGAGUGAGAAAAAUAAAGUUAACAGCAAACUGAGAAAAACACAAUACAAUAUAAAGAGUUAAUUUAUCUAAGAUAAGAAAAGCUUCUAAAAAGAAUAGAGAUGUAAACAAAGUUCAUGAAAAAAAUAAAAAAUGCUUUAUACAUAGAAAAGAUAUUCAGCCUGACUGAGACACAAAUAAAACUUCAAGUAGAU
This 6635-nucleotide long non-coding RNA is filed under the name Sus scrofa (pig). RNAcentral describes it as "lncRNA (ENSSSCG00000055017.1)". The record is from RNAcentral. Lineage: Eukaryota; Metazoa; Chordata; Mammalia; Artiodactyla; Suidae.